CGCCCACUAGCUAGCCCACCCUCAAAAAUACAACAAACCCCCAUCAAUAACCCCAAAUACGCUUAACCCAUUAAAUAAAUCAUUCUUCCUCCUUAGUAUAGGCGAAAGAAAAGGAACUAUGGCGCAAUAGAAAAAGUACCGCAAGGGAACGCUGAAAGAGAAAUGAAAUAACCCAGUACAAGCAUAAAAAAGCAGAGAUCUCAUCUCGUACCUUUUGCAUCAUGAUUUAGCUAGAAAUUUUCAAGCAAAGAGCACUUUAGUUUGACCCCCCGAAACUAGGUGAGCUACUCCAAGACAGCCUAUCAUUAGGGCAAACCCGUCUCUGUGGCAAAAGAGUGGGAAGAGCUUUGAGUAGAGGUGACAGACCUAUCGAACCUAGUUAUAGCUGGUUGCCUAAGAAUUGGAUAAAAGUUCAGCCUCCCGGCUUCUUUCUCUACCAGCACACGCCUAUCCCAGCCAUCUAAAAGAAACCGAGAGAGUUAAUCAAAGGGGGUACAGCCCCUUUGAUAUAAAAAACAACUUUUCCAGGUGGAUAAAGAUCACAACUAAGCCAAGGCCUAAUGUUCUGGUGGGCCUAAAAGCAGCCACCCCCAUAGAAAGCGUUAAAGCUCAAACAUUCAGCCCCCCCCCCUAUCCCGACAAUCCUAUCUUAAUCCCCUAAACUUACUAGGCCGCCCCAUGCCCCCAUGGGAGAGACCAUGCUAAAAUGAGUAAUAAGAGGACACUCGCCCCUCUCCCCGCACUCGUGUAAAUCGGAACGAACCCCCACCGAAUUUUAACGGCCCCAAAAUAAAGAGGGUAUUGAACAACAAACUUAAUAACCAGAAAAUCAUUCAACAACACAAACCGUUAAUCCUACACUGGCGUGCUCGCAGGGAAAGACUAAAAGAAAGAGAAGGAACUCGGCAAACAUACGCCUCGCCUGUUUACCAAAAACAUCGCCUCUUGUAAACUCACAAAUAAGAGGUCCCGCCUGCCCUGUGACUAUUAGUUUAACGGCCGCGGUAUUCUAACCGUGCGAAGGUAGCGCAAUCACUUGUCUUUUAAAUGAAGACCUGUAUGAAUGGCACGACGAGGGCUAAGCUGUCUCCUCUUUCCAGUCAAUGAAAUUGAUCUCCCCGUGCAGAAGCGGGGAUGCCCACAUAAGACGAGAAGACCCUAUGGAGCUUUAGACACUAAGGCAGCCCAUGUUAAACAAUCACAAACAAAGAAUAAAACUAAAUGGCACCUCCCGGAUGUCUUUGGUUGGGGUGACCACGGGGAACACAAAACCCCCGCGUGGAAUGGAAACACCACUUUCUACAACUAAGAGCCCCCGCUCUAAAGAACAGAAUUUCUGACCUACAUGAUCCGGCAACGCCGAUCAACGAACCGAGUUACCCUAGGGAUAACAGCGCAAUCCCCUUUUAGAGCCCAUAUCGACAAGGGGGUUUACGACCUCGAUGUUGGAUCAGGACAUCCUAAUGGUGCAGCCGCUAUUAAGGGUUCGUUUGUUCAACGAUUAAAGUCCUACGUGAUCUGAGUUCAGACCGGAGUAAUCCAGGUCAGUUUCUAUCUAUGACAUGUCUCUCCCUAGUACGAAAGGACCGGGAGAAAGAGGCCCAUGCUACCAGUACGCCUCACCCUCACCUGACGAAGACAACUAAAACAGGCAAAAGGGCGUAUGCCCUUUGUCUGAAAAAACGACAUU
RNAcentral lists this ribosomal RNA (1690 nucleotides) under Ephippus orbis (orbfish). Its description in RNAcentral is "16S ribosomal RNA". The stretch from base 102 to 1575 matches the Rfam family "Bacterial large subunit ribosomal RNA". The record is from RNAcentral. Lineage: Eukaryota; Metazoa; Chordata; Actinopteri; Ephippiformes; Ephippidae.